UGCGUAACGCGUAUGCAAUCUACCUUGUUCAAAGGGAUAGCCCAGAGAAAUUUGGAUUAAUACCUUAUAGUAUUAUAAAAUGGCAUCAUUUAAUAAUUAAAGAUUUAUCGGAACAAGAUGAGCAUGCGUCCCAUUAGCUAGUUGGUAUGGUAACGGCAUACCAAGGCAAUGAUGGGUAGGGGUCCUGAGAGGGAGAUCCCCCACACUGGUACUGAGACACGGACCAGACUCC
This 232-nucleotide ribosomal RNA is filed under the name uncultured bacterium. RNAcentral's name for it is "partial 16S ribosomal RNA". It matches the Rfam family "Bacterial small subunit ribosomal RNA", at positions 107 to 339 of the family's 1533-position model. The record is from RNAcentral.